GAUGAACGCUGGCGGCGUGCUUAACACAUGCAAGUCGAACGGAAAGGCUCCUGCUUGCAGGGGUACUCGAGUGGCGAACGGGUGAGUAACACGUGGGUGAUCUGCCCUGCACUUCGGGAUAAGCCUGGGAAACUGGGUCUAAUACCGGAUAGGACGAUGGUUUGGAUGCCAUUGUGGAAAGUUUUUUCGGUGUGGGAUGAGCUCGCGGCCUAUCAGCUUGUUGGUGGGGUAAUGGCCUGCCAAGGCGUCGACGGGUAGCCGGCCUGAGAGGGUGUACGGCCACAUUGGGACUGAGAUACGGCCCAGACUCCUACGGGAGGCAGCAGUGGGGAAUAUUGCACAAUGGGCGCAAGCCUGAUGCAGCGACGCCGCGUGGGGGAUGACGGCCUUCGGGUUGUAAACUCCUUUCGCUAGGGACGAAGCGCAAGUGACGGUACCUGGAGAAGAAGCACCGGCUAACUACGUG
This 466-nucleotide ribosomal RNA is filed under the name uncultured bacterium. Its description in RNAcentral is "partial 16S ribosomal RNA". It matches the Rfam family "Bacterial small subunit ribosomal RNA", at positions 28 to 507 of the family's 1533-position model. The record is from RNAcentral.